This 1060-nucleotide ribosomal RNA is filed under the name uncultured Dechloromonas sp. RNAcentral describes it as "bacterial SSU rRNA". It matches the Rfam family "Bacterial small subunit ribosomal RNA", at positions 338 to 1389 of the family's 1533-position model. Lineage: Bacteria; Pseudomonadati; Pseudomonadota; Betaproteobacteria; Rhodocyclales; Azonexaceae. The record is from RNAcentral.
CCUACGGGAGGCAGCAGUGGGGAAUCUUGGACAAUGGGCGCAAGCCUGAUCCAGCCAUGCCGCGUGAGUGAAGAAGGCCUUCGGGUUGUAAAGCUCUUUCGGCCGGGAAGAAAUCGCAUUGGUUAAUACCUGGUGUGGAUGACGGUACCGGAAUAAGAAGCACCGGCUAACUACGUGCCAGCAGCCGCGGUAAUACGUAGGGUGCGAGCGUUAAUCGGAAUUACUGGGCGUAAAGCGUGCGCAGGCGGUUUUGUAAGACAGGCGUGAAAUCCCCGGGCUCAACCUGGGAACUGCGCUUGUGACUGCAAGGCUAGAGUACGGCAGAGGGGGGUGGAAUUCCACGUGUAGCAGUGAAAUGCGUAGAGAUGUGGAGGAACACCAAUGGCGAAGGCAGCCCCCUGGGUCGAUACUGACGCUCAUGCACGAAAGCGUGGGUAGCAAACAGGAUUAGAUACCCUGGUAGUCCACGCCCUAAACGAUGUCAACUAGGUGUUGGGAGGGUAAAACCUUUUAGUACCGGAGCUAACGCGUGAAGUUGACCGCCUGGGGAGUACGGCCGCAAGGUUAAAACUCAAAGGAAUUGACGGGGACCCGCACAAGCGGUGGAUGAUGUGGAUUAAUUCGAUGCAACGCGAAAAACCUUACCUACCCUUGACAUGUCAGGAAGUCUUGAGAGAUUGAGAUGUGCCCGAAAGGGAACCUGAACACAGGUGCUGCAUGGCUGUCGUCAGCUCGUGUCGUGAGAUGUUGGGUUAAGUCCCGCAACGAGCGCAACCCUUGUCGUUAAUUGCCAUCAUUUAGUUGGGCACUUUAGCGAGACUGCCGGUGACGAACCGGAGGAAGGUGGGGAUGACGUCAAGUCCUCAUGGCCCUUAUGGGUAGGGCUUCACACGUCAUACAAUGGUCGGUACAAAGGGUCGCCAACCCGCGAGGGGGAGCCAAUCCCAGAAAGCCGAUCGUAGUCCGGAUUGCAGGCUGCAACUCGCCUGCAUGAAGUCGGAAUCGCUAGUAAUCGUGGAUCAGCAUGUCACGGUGAAUACGUUCCCGGGCCUUGUACACA